Long non-coding RNA from Cucumis melo (muskmelon), 581 nucleotides. RefSeq lists it as uncharacterized. The transcript has 2 exons. The record is from RefSeq and is a predicted model, not a curated record. NCBI's taxonomy places the organism in Eukaryota, Viridiplantae, Streptophyta, Magnoliopsida, Cucurbitales, Cucurbitaceae.
UUAAGAAAAGUUCUCAUCCAUCUUCCAUUCUUUUCCUUCUUCAAUUUGCAGAGAACAUUUAAGACAGAGUUUGGAAGAAGAAGAGGAAUUUUACUAGAAUUUUGAGGUUGAAGAAGAGAAGGAGAACUCAAGCAAAGUGUAUCCAUGGCUGAAUCUUGGUUCAUUAUGCACAUCACUGGUUUUUAAUUCGUUUUGAACAAUUCAAAAGGAAUUAAGAGGACAGUUGGUUUUCACGCGAAUUCAGAAGGUCUCUGGUUUUUCUUGUAUUUCAGAGGGUAUCGGUUGCGUUAGGAUCUUUAUUUAGUAUGGUUGGAAAGCUUAUUCAAUUUACUACAACUUUCAUGAAGAAAUCGUGAACCAAAAAUGAUUAAAAAUAAGUUAAAUUGUAGGGACAAGUUAAACAGGUCGUGUGCACGCGAUUCUGGAAGUGGUUCUAUUUCGAGGGUUAUCUGAGUUUAUUCAUAGCGAAUCAGAUUUAUAUGUCUUCAGGUAAGUUUUAGAGGACCUCAAAAUGAAGACUAUGAUAUAAAGAACACUCAUUUUGGUUAAGUAUUGAGAAAGGUAUAGUCAUUUGAAGUUUA